GAUGAAGAACGCAGCGAAAUGCGAUACCUGGUGUGAAUUGCAGAAUCCCGCGAACCAUCGAGUCUUUGAACGCAAGUUGCGCCCGAGGCCACUCGGCCGAGGGCACGCCUGCCUGGGCGUCACGCCAAAACACGCUCCCAACCCCCCUCAUCGGGAAUAGGGAUGCGGCAUAUGGUCCCUCGUCUCGCAAGGGGCGGUGGGCCGAAGAUCGGGCUGCCGGCGGACCGCGCCGGACACAGCGCAUGGUGGGCGUCCUCGCUUUAUCAACGCAGUGCAUCCGACGCGUAGCCGGCGUGAUGGCCUCAAAACGACCCAGCAAACGAGGCGCACGUCGCUUCGACCGCGACCCCAGGUCAGGCGGGACUACCCGCUGAGUUUAAGCAUAUCAAUAAGCGGAGGA
This 400-nucleotide unclassified non-coding RNA is filed under the name soil metagenome. Its description in RNAcentral is "partial contains 5.8S ribosomal RNA, internal transcribed spacer 2, and large subunit ribosomal RNA". The stretch from base 1 to 122 matches the Rfam family "5.8S ribosomal RNA", at positions 35 to 154 of the family's 154-position model. The record is from RNAcentral.